AUGGAUCUGCGGCCUAUCAGGUAGUAGUGGGUGUAAUGUACCUACUAGCCGACGACGGGUACGGGUUGUGAGAGCAAGAGCCCGGAGAUGGAUUCUGAGACAUGAAUCCAGGCCCUACGGGGCGCAGCAGGCGCGAAAACUUUACAAUGCGGGAAACCGCGAUAAGGGGACACCGAGUGCCAGCAUAUUAUGUUGGCUGUCCGCAUGUAUAAAUAACAUGUGUUAGCAAGGGCCGGGCAAGACCGGUGCCAGCCGCCGCGGUAACACCGGCGGCCCGAGUGGUAGCCGCUAUUAUUGGGUCUAAAGGGUCCGUAGCCGGUUUGAUCAGUCUUCCGGGAAAUCUGACAGCUUAACUGUUAGGCUUCCGGGGGAUACUGUCAGAC
Molecule: ribosomal RNA, 383 nt
Filed under: uncultured archaeon
Lineage: Archaea
Description: bacterial SSU rRNA
Rfam family: Archaeal small subunit ribosomal RNA
Source: RNAcentral